CCUACGGGAGGCAGCAGUGAGGAAUAUUGGUCAAUGGACGCAAGUCUGAACCAGCCAUGCCGCGUGAAGGAAGACGGCUCUAUGAGUUGUAAACUGCUUUUGUAAGAGGGUAAACGGAGGUACGUGUAUCUGUCUGAAUGUAUUGUACGAAUAAGGAUCGGCUAACUCCGUGCCAGCAGCCGCGGUAAUACGGAGGAUCCGAGCGUUAUCCGGAUUUAUUGGGUUUAAAGGGUGCGUAGGCGGUUUGAUAAGUUAGAGGUGAAAGCUCGGGGCUCAACUGCGGAAUUGCCUUUGAUACUGGUCGGCUAGAGUGUAGUUGCGGUAGGCGGAAUGCAUGGUGUAGCGGUGAAAUGCUUAGAUAUCAGACAGAACACCGAUUGCGAAGGCAGCUUACUAAGCUGCAACUGACGUUGAUGCACGAAAGCGUGGGGAGCAAACAGGAUUAGAUACCCCAGUAGUC
RNAcentral lists this ribosomal RNA (460 nucleotides) under uncultured bacterium. RNAcentral describes it as "partial 16S ribosomal RNA". It matches the Rfam family "Bacterial small subunit ribosomal RNA", at positions 338 to 795 of the family's 1533-position model. The record is from RNAcentral.